AAAAACUGAAUAUUUUCAAUCAUCUUGCAACCAGUUGUAUUGAUAGUUUUACCCGAGGAACUUAUUUCAUUUACGCGGGGAAAGCAUGGGAAACAACCUCUAUGUCUUCUAUUGAGCUUCUGGUAUAGGUGUCAAUGUCAUCAUUUCCUCAGUAUAUCGCAAAUGCUGUUGAUGUCCCUUUGUUGUUUUAACAAUUGUUUCCCACUUGGGAU
This 212-nucleotide unclassified non-coding RNA is filed under the name Hevea brasiliensis (rubber tree). The record is from RNAcentral. Lineage: Eukaryota; Viridiplantae; Streptophyta; Magnoliopsida; Malpighiales; Euphorbiaceae.